This 465-nucleotide ribosomal RNA is filed under the name uncultured bacterium. Its description in RNAcentral is "partial 16S ribosomal RNA". It matches the Rfam family "Bacterial small subunit ribosomal RNA", at positions 28 to 507 of the family's 1533-position model. The record is from RNAcentral.
GACGAACGCUGGCGGCGUGCUUAACACAUGCAAGUCGAACGGAAAGGCCCUUUUGGGGGUACUCGAGUGGCGAACGGGUGAGUAACACGUGAGUAACCUGCCCUCCACUUCGGGAUAACUUCAGGAAACUGGGGCUAAUACCGGAUAGGAAUCCUUGCUGCAUGGUGGGGGUUGGAAAGCUUCGGGGGUUUUGGAUGGACUCACGGCUUAUCAGCUUGUUGGUGGGGUAGUGGCUUACCAAGGCAUUGACGGGUAGCCGGCCUGAGAGUGCGAGCGGCCACAUUGGGACUGAGGUGCGGCCCAGACUGCUACGGGAGGGAGAAGGGGGGAAGAUUGCACGAUGAGCGGAGGGCGGGUGCAGCAAGGCCGCGUGCGGGAUGACGGCGUUCGGGUUGAAAACCGCUUUCAGCAGGGGCGAAGCUUGUGGUGACGGUACCUGCAGAAGAAGCACCGGCUAACUACGUG